This 403-nucleotide ribosomal RNA is filed under the name uncultured bacterium. RNAcentral's name for it is "partial 16S ribosomal RNA". It matches the Rfam family "Bacterial small subunit ribosomal RNA", at positions 29 to 526 of the family's 1533-position model. The record is from RNAcentral.
AUUGAACGCUGGCGGCAGGCCUAACACAUGCAAGUCGAGCGAGCGGCGGACGGGUGAGUAAUGUAUGGGGACUGCCCGAUAGAGGGGGAUAACUACUGGAAACGGUGGCUAAUACCGCAUACUAUCGGAUAACCCAUAUGGGAUUGGCUAGUAGGUGGGGUAAAGGCUCACCUAGGCGACGAUAUCUAGCUGGUCUGCGAGGAUGAUCAGCAACACUGGGACUGAGACACGGCCCAGACUCAUACGGAGGCAGCAGUGGGGAAUAGUGCGCAAUGGGAGAAAGCCUGAUGCAGCCAUGCCGCGUGUAUGAAGAAGGCCUUAGGGUGGUAAAGCACGUGCAGCGGGGAGGCGUUACCCGAAGAAGAAGCACCGGCUAACUCCGUGCCAGCAGCCGCGGUAAUUC